CCUGGAUUUCUUUACAAGGUUCGAGCUGCGUACAGAUAUGCUGCUGAAGAUGAUGAUGAGUUGUCAUUUGAGAAAGGAGAGAUCAUAAAUGUUGUCGAGUUUGAGGAUCCAGAGGAACAGGAUGAGGGCUGGCUCCUUGGUAUCCUAGAGCUGAGCGGAAUUAAGGGUGUUUUCCCGGCAAAUUUCACUAAAAGAAUUUAAUUGAUAAUUUACUUCAAGUGAAGAAGGUUCAGUUAUGAGUAUGAUGGUGAUAAUGUUCUAUUCACCAGUCCUGUCAUCAUUAUGUUUAAAAAGCACUGUUUAUUAGGGUUGUUAAAAAUACAAUGAUAGAGAAACGAGAUGGUGGCUAAUAUAUAAAAUUAUAAAAUAAUUCAAAUAGUACGUGCGCUCUGAUUGGUCAUAAAACCAUUUUACAUGAGCAUAUGUAAACACGGUUUUCAUUCCUCUUUCAUAGCUUCAUUAGCUUCGCGUCAUGGUUUCCUACGCUUAUCUUGUGUUCUCCCAACCUCCCGCGUGUUUACAUCAGGCUAUGUAAACACAGAAACCAUUUUACAUUCCUUUACUUUAAGAUCAGUUUCUAAUUCUGAGGCCAUUGGUUGUUUGCAAAAGUCUACAGAGGGAAAAAUUUUGUUAUUACUCCUCACUUCAGUUACCUUGAAUUCGCUCCCAAAAUUGUAGUUUUGCCACAUUACAAUAUUUCAUUGAAGAAACCACAAUCAUUGUAUUUUAACAUACUUUAGCUGUUAGCACUGACAUUAGACAUACACUGUAAUUAUUGACAGCACUUAGGGAUUCAAGAACCAUACUUUGAAUUUAUGAGCUUUUUUUUUUGUUUUUUGUACCAUAAAUAUAAAGUAUUUAGAUGAUCAAAAGGCAUUCACCUCUAUGGCAACAAUCUACUGUGAAAGGGAUACAGAUCCAAAACUGCUUGUGCAAAAUUAUCAAUAAUUUCUUGAAUUACAAAAUUGCAUCAUUUUUGUGGCUUUGAGACAAGAGUUAAGGGAAGGAAGGUUUGUUGUAAAUGAGAAAUGUAAUGAGUUUUCUCAAGGAGAGUGUGACUGGGCUGUACAUAGCCAAGUAAUUGGUACAAAUAAUUCUACAUUUUGAGCUAUGUAUAUGGAAAACCUUUUUGAGUGAAGAUGUGAAUGCAUUGUAAUUUAAAUCAUCUGAGUUACUUGUAUGUGUAUUAUAGUUUUGCAUUUAAUUAUAACCAUAAAUUGUGAUUCACAAAUCAGACUCCUGCUUCACAGUUGUCUGAUUUUGUUAGUAACUCAUAUGAUUACAGACCAAAUUGGACUUGACUCAGUCUUAUUACCAUGAUUAUAAAUCAAGGAUAUCAGAGGUAUUACUUUUCCUGCUUUCUUAUUUUUAUUAAUGCAAAAUAGAACCAUGGCAGUGAUACCAGAAACCCCAAAUGUAUCAAGAGACUGUACAGUUAUUCAUAUUUGUACAAGUAAUACUGUUAGAAUAGUUCAUUAAUAGUUAUUUCGUAGAGACAAGAUUAUUAUGCAUUAUUUUAUUUUGUGUGCCAGUAAUGGAAACAAAUGCUAAAUAAAAGGUCACA
Pocillopora verrucosa is the source of this 1564-nucleotide non-coding RNA. Lineage: Eukaryota; Metazoa; Cnidaria; Anthozoa; Scleractinia; Pocilloporidae. The record is from RefSeq and is a predicted model, not a curated record.